CGGAACGGGUGAGUAAUACAUAAGUAACCUGCCCUAGACAGGGGGAUAACUAUUGGAAACGAUAGCUAAGACCGCAUAGGUACGGACACUGCAUGGUGACCGUAUUAAAAGUGCCUCAAAGCACUGGUAGAGGAUGGACUUAUGGCGCAUUAGCUGGUUGGCGGGGUAACGGCCCACCAAGGCGACGAUGCGUAGCCGACCUGAGAGGGUGACCGGCCACACUGGGACUGAGACACGGCCCAAACUCCUACGGGAGGCAGCAUG
RNAcentral lists this ribosomal RNA (264 nucleotides) under uncultured bacterium. RNAcentral's name for it is "partial 16S ribosomal RNA". It matches the Rfam family "Bacterial small subunit ribosomal RNA", at positions 98 to 353 of the family's 1533-position model. The record is from RNAcentral.